GGGGGAUAGCCCGGCGAAAGCCGGAUUAAUACCGCAUACGCUCUACGGAGGAAAGGGGGGGAUCUUAGGACCUCCCGCUACAGGGGCGGCCGAUGGCAGAUUAGCUAGUUGGUGGGGUAAAGGCCUACCAAGGCGACGAUCUGUAGCUGGUCUGAGAGGACGACCAGCCACACUGGGACUGAGACACGGCCCAGACUCCUACGGGAGGCAGCAGUGGGGAAUUUUGGACAAUGGGGGCAACCCUGAUCCAGCAAUGCCGCGUGUGUGAAGAAGGCCUUCGGGUUGUAAAGCACUUUUGUCCGGAAAGAAAACGCCGUGGUUAAUACCCGUGGCGGAUGACGGUACCGGAAGAAUAAGCACCGGCUAACUACGUGCCAGCAGCCGCGGUAAUACGUAGGGUGCAAGCGUUAAUCGGAAUUACUGGGCGUAAAGCGUGCGCAGGCGGUCCGCUAAGACAGAUGUGAAAUCCCCGGGCUUAACCUGGGAACUGCAUUUGUGACUGGCGGGCUAGAGUAUGGCAGAGGGGGGUAGAAUUCCACGUGUAGCAGUGAAAUGCGUAGAGAUGUGGAGGAAUACCGAUGGCGAAGGCAGCCCCCUGGGCCAAUACUGACGCUCAUGCACGAAAGCGUGG
This 631-nucleotide ribosomal RNA is filed under the name Paraburkholderia fungorum. RNAcentral describes it as "bacterial SSU rRNA". It matches the Rfam family "Bacterial small subunit ribosomal RNA", at positions 138 to 764 of the family's 1533-position model. Lineage: Bacteria; Pseudomonadati; Pseudomonadota; Betaproteobacteria; Burkholderiales; Burkholderiaceae. The record is from RNAcentral.